This 345-nucleotide long non-coding RNA is filed under the name Nicotiana benthamiana. RNAcentral's name for it is "long non-coding RNA (NBEN_LNC008134)". The record is from RNAcentral. Lineage: Eukaryota; Viridiplantae; Streptophyta; Magnoliopsida; Solanales; Solanaceae.
UCUUCUGAAGUUAUACUAUUUACACUCUGAGAAUCUUCAAAAUUAUCCCCCAUUAAAACAUCAUCAUCAGUAAUUUGCUUCUGAAUAUCUUUUUUAAUAUGCUCCAUGUAAGCUGCAAUUAGCUCAUCUUUAGAUAAUGUUCCUCCUUUUUUUAUUUGAAUCUUCUUAGUAAUUUUCCUAAAAUGACUUUCUUCCAUUUCUGUAUCAUCUGGGAUUUCUUUGUCAUAUUUGGUAAUUGUAGUCUUAAUUGUAUCCAAUAGCUCUUGCCCAACCAUCUUUCCAUCAGAUCCUUUUGAGAUUAGUUUAGGCCAAAAUUUUGUAUAAUGUCUUCUAAAUAAACAAGGN